GAACCAGCAGAGAAAAUCGUGUGACUCAUCUGAUUCCAUCAGUAGGCUUCUGUGGGGGAAUCCUGAAAAAAGGAUAUAGCUUGUCAUGGACUCUUUCUUCUGAUAAAGCUCGCUGUGCUGGAAACAUUAAUAGCCUACGACUUGCUUCCAGAGAUGGGUACUAUCAUUAUCUGCAUUUCACAGAGGCAGACACCGAAGCACAGUAAAAUUAAGUACCUUCCUGGAGAUUACAUGGAUUUA
This 240-nucleotide long non-coding RNA is filed under the name Homo sapiens (human). RNAcentral describes it as "HSALNT0335546". Lineage: Eukaryota; Metazoa; Chordata; Mammalia; Primates; Hominidae. The record is from RNAcentral.